AUUGAACGCUGGCGGCAGGCCUAACACAUGCAAGUCGGGCGCGCGGCGGACGGGUGAGUAAUGUAUGGGGCUCUGCCUGAUGGAGGGGGAACACUACUGGAAACGGUAGCUAAUCCCGCAUACUAUCAGCUGCACCCAUAUGGGAUUAGCUUGUGGGGGGGGUAACGGCUCACCUAGGCCACUAUCCCUAGCUGGUCUGAGGGGAUGAUCAGCCACACUGGAACGUAGACACGGCCCCGACUCCUACGGGAGGCAGCAGUGGGGAAUAUUGCACAAUGGGCGCAAGCCUGAUGCAGCCAUGCCGCGUGUAUGAAGAAGGCCUUCGGGUUGUAAAGUACUUUCAGUCGGGAGGCGUUACCGGCAGAAGAAGCACCGGCUAACUCCGUGCCAGCAGCCGCGGUAAUUC
This 406-nucleotide ribosomal RNA is filed under the name uncultured bacterium. RNAcentral describes it as "partial 16S ribosomal RNA". It matches the Rfam family "Bacterial small subunit ribosomal RNA", at positions 30 to 526 of the family's 1533-position model. The record is from RNAcentral.